Molecule: ribosomal RNA, 253 nt
Filed under: uncultured bacterium
Lineage: Bacteria
Description: partial 16S ribosomal RNA
Rfam family: Bacterial small subunit ribosomal RNA
Source: RNAcentral
GACGAACCGUCCAAACGUUAUUCGGAAUCACUGGGCUUAAAGGGUGCGUAGGCGGCGCUGAAAGUUGGGUGUGAAAUCCCUCGGCUCAACCGAGGAACUGCGCCCAAAACUACAGUGCUUGAGGGAGAUAGAGGUGAGCGGAACUUAGGGUGGAGCGGUGAAAUGCGUUGAUAUCCUAAGGAACGCCAGGGGCGAAAGCGGCUCACUGGGUCUCUUCUGACGCUGAGGCACGAAAGCUAGGGUAGCGAACGGG